Molecule: ribosomal RNA, 406 nt
Filed under: uncultured bacterium
Lineage: Bacteria
Description: partial 16S ribosomal RNA
Rfam family: Bacterial small subunit ribosomal RNA
Source: RNAcentral
GACGAACGCUGGCGGCGUGCUUAACACAUGCAAGUCGAACGAGUGGCGAUCGGGUGAGUACUGUCUGCGACACUGCCCGAUGGAGGGGGAUUACUACUGGAAACGGUACAUAAUACCGCCUACCAUCGGAUGUGACCAGAUGGGCUUAGAUCGUAGGUGAGGUAACGGCUAACCUAGGCGACGAUCCCUAGCUGGGCGGAGAGGAUGACCAGCCACACGGGAACUGAGACACGGCCCAGACUCCUACGGGAGGCAGCAGUGGGGAAUAGUGCACAAUGGGCGCAAGCCUGAUGCAGCCAUGCCGCGUGUAUGAAGAAGGCCUUAGGGUUGUAAAGGACGUUCAGCGGGGAGGCGUUACGCGCAGAAGAAGCACCGGCUAACUCCGGGCCAGCAGCCGCGGUAAUUC